RNAcentral lists this long non-coding RNA (253 nucleotides) under Elaeis guineensis (African oil palm). RNAcentral describes it as "long non-coding RNA (EGUI_LNC056043)". Lineage: Eukaryota; Viridiplantae; Streptophyta; Magnoliopsida; Arecales; Arecaceae. The record is from RNAcentral.
CCAACGAGCUCGUCAUGGCCGAGUCAAUUAAGCGCCAGCUCGUUGUCUCCGAACAAUCUGUCGGUGCCUCUCUUGAUCUCCAGAUGAUUUUAAUCUCCGUCGAUCCCUCUCCUGAUCUUCCAAUGAUUCUAAUCUCCUGAUCCAUCGACCCCUCUCUUAAUCUCCAUCUCCAGACUAUCUGUUGACACCUCUGUCUCCAAACUAUAUGUUGACACCUCUAUCUCCAGAUGAUCUGUCUUCAUCUUCGUCUGCU